CGGCAUGCGAGAGCGCAUCCUCCAGGCCGAGGCGGAGCUCCGCGGGCUGCAGCGCGCGUGCCGGGACCUGAUCGUGCGCACGGCCGUGUGCGCCUCCAGGACGGGGCCCGCGGCCGCGGCAGCCGCGACAGAGACCUGCAAGGAGGCGCCGGGUGGCCCCCGCGCCAGGACGAGCGGGUCCCGGCGCUGCCGCCGCCGAGCUUCCCCGGCCGACCCGGACGACCCCGGCGAGCCCCCGCACUGGCUGUGGAGGGCCGUGCGCGCCGCGCUGCCCUUCCAGCUCGCCCUGGUCGCGCUGCUGUGCGUGGCGUGCCUGCUGCAGCCGCACUGCUGCGACCACCUCAACAACCUCAGCCUGUCCCUCAGCCCUCAGCUGCGCUACGCGAGGGGCCCGCCCCCCGUGUAGGCAAAGGUUUAACAGCUUCUUCUUUUGCAGCGCGGUUCCAACUACUUAAU
Molecule: long non-coding RNA, 456 nt
Organism: Frankliniella occidentalis (western flower thrips)
Lineage: Eukaryota; Metazoa; Arthropoda; Insecta; Thysanoptera; Thripidae
Exons: 3
Source: RefSeq, a predicted model, not a curated record